Molecule: ribosomal RNA, 715 nt
Filed under: uncultured Bacteroidales bacterium
Lineage: Bacteria; Pseudomonadati; Bacteroidota; Bacteroidia; Bacteroidales
Description: bacterial SSU rRNA
Rfam family: Bacterial small subunit ribosomal RNA
Source: RNAcentral
GGCUUAACACAUGCCAGUCGAGGGGCAGCAUUCCAGUUUGCUUGCAAACUGGAGAUGGCGACCGGCGCACGGGUGAGUAACACGUAUCCAACCUGCCGAUAACUCGGGGAUAGCCUUUCGAAAGAAAGAUUAAUACCCGAUGGCAUAAUAGAACCGCAUGGUUUGAUUAUUAAAGAAUUUCGGUUAUCGAUGGGGAUGCGUUCCAUUAGGCAGUUGGUGGGGUAACGGCCCACCAAACCUUCGAUGGAUAGGGGUUCUGAGAGGAAGGUCCCCCACAUUGGAACUGAGACACGGUCCAAACUCCUACGGGAGGCAGCAGUGAGGAAUAUUGGUCAAUGGACGAGAGUCUGAACCAGCCAAGUAGCGUGAAGGAUGACUGCCCUAUGGGUUGUAAACUUCUUUUAUAUGGGAAUAAAGUGGUCCACGUGUGGAUUUUUGUAUGUACCAUAUGAAUAAGGAUCGGCUAACUCCGUGCCAGCAGCCGCGGUAAUACGGAGGAUCCGAGCGUUAUCCGGAUUUAUUGGGUUUAAAGGGAGCGUAGGUGGACAGUUAAGUCAGUUGUGAAAGUUUGCGGCUCAACCGUAAAAUUGCAGUUGAUACUGGCUGUCUUGAGUACAGUAGAGGUGGGCGGAAUUCGUGGUGUAGCGGUGAAAUGCUUAGAUAUCACGAAGAACUCCGAUUGCGAAGGCAGCUCACUGGACUGCAACUGACACUG